UACGGAGGGUGCAAGCGUUGUUCGGAAUUAUUGGGCGUAAAGGGGAGGUAGGUGGUCUCGUUUGUCCAGUGUGAAACCCCCAGGCUUAACCUGGGACCUGCACUGGAAACGGCGAGACUUGAAUCUUGGAGAGGGUUGCAGAAUUCCCGGUGUAGCGGUGAAAUGCGUAGAGAUCGGGAGGAAUACCAGAGGCGUAGGCGGCAACCUGGACAAGUAUUGACACUCAACUCCGAAAGCGUGGGGAGCAAACAGG
This 253-nucleotide ribosomal RNA is filed under the name uncultured bacterium. RNAcentral describes it as "partial 16S ribosomal RNA". It matches the Rfam family "Bacterial small subunit ribosomal RNA", at positions 524 to 776 of the family's 1533-position model. The record is from RNAcentral.